UAAAAUUAAAAUAUAACCGAAAUGUUAAAUCCGAGACCUCCAAGGAAAAAGCCUGCUCGUCCUUGAAAAGAAAACUUGAAGGUGCAGGGUGUCGGAGCAUGAUGGGCCAUGCAACCCAGAGUGGUGAAAGUCUUGGAAGAAAUCCAAGGCACUUCGAGCGGUUCUCUGCUUCCUGCGACCAGGAGUCUAGUUUCGAACUUUUUACCUGACUUUGGAGGGGGGCCCAUGGUGCAGCUCUCCAGCAAAAAGCAUCCUCCUUUUCUCCCAUAAUCCCUUGCAUCCUCAAAGCAGAUUCCAUCCCAGAUAUAACUUAUGCUUGGACACUUUUUUUUUU
RNAcentral lists this long non-coding RNA (334 nucleotides) under Populus tremula. RNAcentral describes it as "long non-coding RNA (PTRE_LNC001841)". Lineage: Eukaryota; Viridiplantae; Streptophyta; Magnoliopsida; Malpighiales; Salicaceae. The record is from RNAcentral.